Molecule: ribosomal RNA, 1527 nt
Filed under: metagenome
Description: bacterial LSU rRNA
Rfam family: Bacterial large subunit ribosomal RNA
Source: RNAcentral
CUGCUAAAUACUAACCAGUGACCGACAGUGAACCAGUACCGCGAGGGAAAGGUGAAAAGAACCGCUGCGAGCGGAGUGAAACAGAACCUGAAACCGUGUGCCUACAAGGUGUCGGAGCCGAUUUAUUCGGUGACGGCGUGCCUUUUGCUUAAUGAGUCUGCGAGUUAGUGCCCGUGGCAAGCUUAAGCCCUUCAGGGGCGCAGGCGCAGGGAAACCGAGUCCGAACAGGGCGACCACAGUGGCGGGCACUGGACCCGAAGCGGAGGUGAUCUACCCAUGGCCAGGACGAAGCGCCAGUAACAUGUCGUGGAAGGCCGAACCGGUGAAUCUUGAGAAAUCCUCGGAUGAGCUGUGGGUAGGAGUGAAAGGCUAAUCAAACCCCGUGAUAGCUGGUUCUCUCCGAAAUGCAUUGAGGUGCAGCGUCGCAUGCUGAUGAACGGGGGUAGAGCACUGAAUAGGCUAGGGGACACACCCGUCUACCAACCCUAAUCAAACUCCGAAUACCGUUCAAUGAAGUGCGGCAGUGAGACUGCGGGGGAUAAGCUUCGUAGUCGAGAGGGAAACAGCCCAGACCGGCAGCCAAGGUGCCUAAAUACCGCUCAGUGGAAAGGAGGUGGGACUACAGAGACAGUGAGGAUGUUGGCUUAGAGGCAGCCACCAUUUAAACAGUGCGUAAUAGCUGACUCAUCGAGUGGUCCCGCGCCGAAAAUGAUUGGCGAUCAAGCGGUAUACCGAAGCUCCGGAUGCCAUCGGGAUUCGUCCCUUUGGUGUGGUAGGAGAGCAUUGUCUGAGCGCUGAAGCCGGAUGGCGACUGAAGGUGGAGUUCAGACAAGAGAGCAUGCAGACAUAAGUAACGUGAAGGCCGGUGAAAUCCCGGCCCGCCGUAAACCCAAGGUUUCCUGGGCCAUGCUGAUCAUCCCAGGGUUAGUCGGGACCUAAGCCGAGGCGGAGACGCGUAGGCGAUGGACAGCGGAUUAAUAUUUCCGCACCACCGAAACUUAAACCGGAAUGACGGGGACCCGGAGAAGGCCUGCCGAUUGAAAGUGGCAGGGGCGCAGGCUGACGGGGAGACUUCGGUCAAACCGGAUCCUUCAAAGGGACCUCCAGGAAAAGUUCCGGCGUAUGCCAAGGUGCCCGUACCGCAAACCGACACAGGUGGGUGGGUAGAAUAUACCAAGGCGCAAGAGUGAACCCCCGUUAAGGAACUCGGCAAUCUAGCCCCGUAACUUCGGGAGAAGGGGUGCCCCCCGCAAGGGGGGCCGCAGUGAAUGGGCCCAACCGACUGUUUAUCAAAAACACAGCAUUGUGCCAAGGCGCAAGCCGACGUAUACGAUGUGACACGUGACCAAUGCGGAAAGAUUAAGGCAAGAGGUUAGUCGCAAGGCGAAGCUUUGAACCCAAGUCCCCGUGAAUGUCGGCCGUAACGAUAACGGUCCUAAGGUAGCGAAAUUCCUUGUCGGGUAAGUUCCGACCUGCACGAAUCGUGUAACGAGUUGGGCGCUGUCUCAACGGGGCGCUCAGCGAAAA